RNAcentral lists this ribosomal RNA (496 nucleotides) under uncultured bacterium. Its description in RNAcentral is "partial 16S ribosomal RNA". It matches the Rfam family "Bacterial small subunit ribosomal RNA", at positions 28 to 507 of the family's 1533-position model. The record is from RNAcentral.
GAUGAACGCUGGCGGCGUGCCUAAUACAUGCAAGUCGAGCGAACGGACGAGAAGCUUGCUUUUCUGAUGUUAGCGGCGGACGGGUGAGUAACACGUGGAUAACCUACCUAUAAGACUGGGAUAACUUCGGGAAACCGGAGCUAAUACCGGAUAAUAUUUUGAACCGCAUGGUUCAAAAGUGAAAGACGGUCUUGCUGUCACUUAUAGAUGGAUCCGCGCUGCAUUAGCUAGUUGGUAAGGUAACGGCUUACCAAGGCAACGAUGCAUAGCCGACCUGAGAGGGGAAUCGGCACCACGGAACUGAGACACGGUCCAGACUCCUACGGGAGGCAGCAGUAGGGAAUCUUCCGCAAAGGGCGAAAGCCUGACGGAGCAACGCCGCGUGAGUGAUGAAGGUCUUCGGAUCGUAAAACUCUGUUAUUAGGGAAGAACAUAUGUGUAAGUAACUGUGCACAUCUUGACGGUACCUAAUCAGAAAGCCACGGCUAACUACGUG